Daphnia magna is the source of this 1449-nucleotide long non-coding RNA. RefSeq lists it as uncharacterized. The record is from RefSeq and is a predicted model, not a curated record. NCBI's taxonomy places the organism in Eukaryota, Metazoa, Arthropoda, Branchiopoda, Diplostraca, Daphniidae. The transcript is spliced from 4 exons.
GCAGUAGAAAUUCAUGGUUCAUCAGAUGUGGCCUAGUUUUUAGGGAUUCGAAACGUUUUCAUCGUGGGGGAUAAUAAAUGUUCAGUGCGUUCCGUUAUAAAUAGUUCCUAAUAAUAAAGUCAAUAAAGUGACUUUUUUAGUAUUCUUAAAUUAGCAGGAAAAACCUAAAGCUCAAGGAUGAAUACAUUUGUUUAUCGUUACUACUUUUGUAAACAAAAGAGUCAGAGAACAAUGUACGGAAUCUGAUAUUCUAGACCUGGAAACCCCAGGUGCCUUUCUGCUUCAACAAGGCUAUAAAGCAAUUAUAAUUUCAGGAGGUCCCAACUCAGUGUACGCGGUUGAUGCCCCACUAUGCGACCCAGCAAUCUUUAGGCUGUGAUCUAUCAGUGCUGGGGAUUUGUUAUGGCAAGCAAAUACUCAAUAAGGAGUUAGGUGGAACGGUGGAGAGAAAAGAUGUUCGCGAUGGGCAAUUCGAGAUCCAAGUAGAAACGGAGUGCCCAUUGUUUAAAGGCUUAGAGACUCGGCAAAUGGUAUUACUGACCAAUGGUGACAGCGUAGACAAGGUUGCAGAAGGGUUGUGUUGCGUCGCAAAAUCUUCGCGUCAUAUUGACUGAUAACGGAAUGUUGGUUUCCUUUCCAUUCAGUGCGAAACAUUGAUCUUAAAGGCUGAUGUUUAAGACGAAAAAUGUUGCAGAAAUUCUUAUUCGAUAUCUGUGGAUUGCAAGGAGUUUCACAUUGGAGGAACGCGAGCAGCAGUGUAACGAUUACAUCCGGCGCACGGUCGGACUUGAUAAGAUCGUGCUCAUGCUGGUAAGCGGUGGAGUCGAUUCCACCGUCUGUGCUGCCCUUCUCCAUAAACCACUUCUACAGGGUAACGAGUCGUCGCGAGUGCAGGCCAUCCAUAUCGAUAGCGGUUUCCUGCGUAAAGACGAAUCCAAGCAGGUCGUCACUAGUUUACAGCAACUCGGGCUCAAUCUUCAGGUAAUUUGAGAUACUUUUCGGGACCGUUAAGAAUCCUUAUGAUUGGCCAAAAUUUCCAAAAUACGUCGUCCUGUCACAUCUCAAAUUCUACGGUUUAAAAUACUAGUUCUAUGACCGAGUUCUUUUACAGACAGUGGCUUCUCAUUUGUUCUUCAUACCAGCGAUCAGAUUUGAAAUGGAUACGAUUCCGAAAUCGUUCGUCAGUUGCGCCUUCACGGCCGUGUAGUAAAACCUCUAGAAGGUAAUUGCAUUAAGGUGUUUCCUGCGUCCCAAUAGACCUGUGUCGAAUGCUUUAUUUCGUUUACAUCGACUACACUUCAAACAAGUGGGAAAAGGUUGCCUUUAGGCAAUAAGAAGGUAUUGUUCGGGUCUCUGUACGAAUCAUGUCGUAACGGGUGAGUAUCGGAUUGUGGCGCUGAAUGUUUGUGGAUCUAAUCCAAUCAUAGGUAAACAGUUGAAAAGGUGUGG